RNAcentral lists this small nuclear RNA (218 nucleotides) under Tupaia belangeri (northern tree shrew). Its description in RNAcentral is "U2 spliceosomal RNA (ENSTBEG00000020311.1)". The stretch from base 1 to 188 matches the Rfam family "U2 spliceosomal RNA". From Rfam's summary of the family: U2 is a small nuclear RNA (snRNA) component of the spliceosome (involved in pre-mRNA splicing). Complementary binding between U2 snRNA (in an area lying towards the 5' end but 3' to hairpin I) and the branchpoint sequence (BPS) of the intron results the bulging out of an unpaired adenosine, on the BPS, which initiates a nucleophilic attack at the intronic 5' splice site, thus starting the first of two transesterification reactions that mediate splicing. The record is from RNAcentral. Lineage: Eukaryota; Metazoa; Chordata; Mammalia; Scandentia; Tupaiidae.
AUUGCUUCUAGACGUUUUGGUGAAGAUCAAGUGUAGUAUCUGUUCUUAGAAGUUUAAUAACUGCUGUGCCUUCUCUCAGAGGACUAGAUAUUAAAUGGACAUUUUAGAGGAGAGAGAGAAAAUAGGCUUGCUCCAUCCAUUCCACGCACUGACCUGAUACUGCAAGAAGAAAAUUCAUGGCAACAUCUCUGGGGUGGCUCAGGUGUUUUGCUUAUUGG